UUCGGGUGGUAACAAUGUAUGUGUAA
This 26-nucleotide non-coding RNA is filed under the name Homo sapiens (human). The record is from RNAcentral. Lineage: Eukaryota; Metazoa; Chordata; Mammalia; Primates; Hominidae.